GAUCCUGGCUUAGGAUGAACGCUAGCGGCAGGCUUAACACAUGCAAGUCGAGGGGCAGCGGGUGUAGCAAUACAUGCCGGCGACCGGCGAAAGGGUGAGUAACGCGUGAGCAACGUGCCCGUAUGUGGGGGAUAGUCAUUGGAAACGAUGCGUAAUACCCCGUAACACAAGGUUCCGCAUGGGACUUUGUUGAAAGAUUCAUUGCAUACGGAUCGGCUCGCGUGCCAUUAGGUAGACGGCGGGGUAACGGCCCACCGUGCCGACGAUGGCUAGGGGUUCUGAGAGGAAGGUCCCCCACAUUGGAACUGAGACACGGUCCAGACUCCUACGGGAGGCAGCAGUGAGGAAUAUUGGACAAUGGCCGGAAGGCUGAUCCAGCCAUGCCGCGUGCGGGAAUGACGGCCCUAUGGGUUGUAAACCGCUUUUGCGAGGGGGCAAUAAGGGUCACGCGUGGCCCGAUGAGAGUACCUCGCGAAUAAGCAUCGGCUAACUCCGUGCCAGCCGCUGC
RNAcentral lists this ribosomal RNA (508 nucleotides) under uncultured bacterium. RNAcentral describes it as "bacterial SSU rRNA". It matches the Rfam family "Bacterial small subunit ribosomal RNA", at positions 15 to 518 of the family's 1533-position model. The record is from RNAcentral.